UAGUGGCGAACGGGUGAGUAACACGUGGGCAAUCUGCCCUUCACUCUGGGACAAGCCCUGGAAACGGGGUCUAAUACCGGAUAAUACUCCUGCCUGCAUGGGUGGGGGUUGAAAGCUCCGGCGGUGAAGGAUGAGCCCGCGGCCUAUCAGCUUGUUGGUGGGGUAAUGGCCCACCAAGGCGACGACGGGUAGCCGGCCUGAGAGGGCGACCGGCCACACUGGGACUGAGACACGGCCCAGACUCCUACGGGAGGCAGCAGUGGGGAAUAUUGCACAAUGGGCGAAAGCCUGAUGCAGCGACGCCGCGUGAGGGAUGACGGCCUUCGGGUUGUAAACCUCUUUCAGCAGGGAAGAAGCGAAAGUGACGGUACCUGCAGAAGAAGCGCCGGCUAACUACGUGCCAGCAGCCGCGGUAAUACGUAGGGCGCAAGCGUUGUCCGGAAUUAUUGGGCGUAAAGAGCUCGUAGGCGGCUUGUCACGUCGGAUGUGAAAGCCCGAGGCUUAACCUCGGGUCUGCAUUCGAUACGGGCUAGCUAGAGUGUGGUAGGGGAGAUCGGAUUUCCU
RNAcentral lists this ribosomal RNA (564 nucleotides) under Streptomyces sp. 337D05. RNAcentral describes it as "bacterial SSU rRNA". It matches the Rfam family "Bacterial small subunit ribosomal RNA", at positions 93 to 671 of the family's 1533-position model. The record is from RNAcentral. Lineage: Bacteria; Bacillati; Actinomycetota; Actinomycetes; Kitasatosporales; Streptomycetaceae.